RNAcentral lists this ribosomal RNA (1080 nucleotides) under Teratosphaeria angophorae. RNAcentral's name for it is "SSU rRNA". It matches the Rfam family "Eukaryotic small subunit ribosomal RNA", at positions 39 to 1128 of the family's 1831-position model. Lineage: Eukaryota; Fungi; Ascomycota; Dothideomycetes; Mycosphaerellales; Teratosphaeriaceae. The record is from RNAcentral.
AAAGAUUAAGCCAUGCAAGUCUAAGUAUAAGCAACUAUACGGUGAAACUGCGAAUGGCUCAUUAAAUCAGUUAUCGUUUAUUUGAUAGUACCUUACUACAUGGAUAACCGUGGUAAUUCUAGAGCUAAUACAUGCUAAAAACCUCGACUUCGGAAGGGGUGUAUUUAUUAGAUAAAAAACCAAUGCCCUUCGGGGCUCCUUGGUGAAUCAUAAUAACUUAACGAAUCGCAUGGCCUUGCGCCGGCGAUGGUUCAUUCAAAUUUCUGCCCUAUCAACUUUCGAUGGUAGGAUAGUGGCCUACCAUGGUAUCAACGGGUAACGGGGAAUUAGGGUUCGAUUCCGGAGAGGGAGCCUGAGAAACGGCUACCACAUCCAAGGAAGGCAGCAGGCGCGCAAAUUACCCAAUCCCGACACGGGGAGGUAGUGACAAUAAAUACUGAUACAGGGCUCUUUUGGGUCUUGUAAUUGGAAUGAGUACAAUUUAAAUCCCUUAACGAGGAACAAUUGGAGGGCAAGUCUGGUGCCAGCAGCCGCGGUAAUUCCAGCUCCAAUAGCGUAUAUUAAAGUUGUUGCAGUUAAAAAGCUCGUAGUUGAACCUUGGGCCUGGCUGGCCGGUCCGCCUCACCGCGUGUACUGGUCCGGCCGGGCCUUUCCUUCUGGGGAGCCGCAUGGCCUUCAUUGGCUGUGUCGGGGAACCAGGACUUUUACUUUGAAAAAAUUAGAGUGUUCAAAGCAGGCCUUUGCUCGAAUACAUUAGCAUGGAAUAAUAGAAUAGGACGUGCGGUCCUAUUUUGUUGGUUUCUAGGACCGCCGUAAUGAUUAAUAGGGAUAGUCGGGGGCAUCCGUAUUCAAUUGUCAGAGGUGAAAUUCUUGGAUUUAUUGAAGACGAACUACUGCGAAAGCAUUUGCCAAGGAUGUUUUCAUUAAUCAGUGAACGAAAGUUAGGGGAUCGAAGACGAUCAGAUACCGUCGUAGUCUUAACCAUAAACUAUGCCGACUAGGGAUCGGUGGAUGUUUCUAUUUUGACUCCAUCGGCACCUUACGAGAAAUCAAAGUUUUUGGGUUCUGGGGGGAGUAUGG